UCCCUAGUGGCUCAGAGGGUAAAGCAUCUGCCUGCAAUGCAGGAGACCCAGGUUCGCUCCCUGGAUCAGGAA
RNAcentral lists this transfer RNA (72 nucleotides) under Bos taurus (domestic cattle). It matches the Rfam family "tRNA". From Rfam's summary of the family: Transfer RNA (tRNA) molecules are approximately 80 nucleotides in length. Their secondary structure includes four short double-helical elements and three loops (D, anti-codon, and T loops). Further hydrogen bonds mediate the characteristic L-shaped molecular structure. tRNAs have two regions of fundamental functional importance: the anti-codon, which is responsible for specific mRNA codon recognition, and the 3' end, to which the tRNAs corresponding amino acid is attached (by aminoacyl-tRNA synthetases). tRNAs cope with the degeneracy of the genetic code in two manners: having more than one tRNA (with a specific anti-codon) for a particular amino acid; and 'wobble' base-pairing, i.e. permitting non-standard base-pairing at the 3rd anti-codon position. RNAcentral also lists the same sequence under 5 other names. The record is from Rfam by way of RNAcentral. Lineage: Eukaryota; Metazoa; Chordata; Mammalia; Artiodactyla; Bovidae.